AGAAAUUACCAGCGAGUGAUAUCUUACGGCUACCACUUGAUGUGGGGAAUGUGAGAUAUCUUAUGCCAGUCUUCUCCUUUCCCCUCUCUAUAACGGUUUUCCAGAAGAGGACAUAUGUGAAUAGUCAAUUCCUGCAGCGUCGACGUUCGAAGGAGGUAAUCCGGCAGCACCUUUAAUUUGGGGCAAUUCUGAAUAAACAAGAAAGAAAGACGCGGUAUGUCUGUUGUCCUGCGAUCUUCUAGAAUGGGCAGUUCUUCCAAAUUUUCACAAGAAUAAAUACUCAGUUCCUGCAGUGCCGUCGUUUGAAGAAGGUAAUCUGGCAGUACCUUUAAUUUGUUGCAAGACCAAAUCAUCAAGGAAGAAAGACGUGGCAUGAUGGAGAUGUUUUCCUUCCUCGUAAUCCUGUAAUUCCACUCUUCCAAUUCUUGCAUGUCCCAAAUUUUGAGAGAUUUCAAUUUGGUGAAGGCAGUAACUGAUGAUGAUGAUGAAGAUGAGGACGGCUCAUCAUCACUGCUUUCUUCUAUUCCCAAAAACUCAUUACCCACUCUUUUUACACUUGUCAAGUACUUUAGUUCGAGUUUUUCCAGAGGUAAUUUUCCCAAAGGAGGCAAAUGCUCACAGUUAAAACACAACGAAAGUUUUAGUUCCCUUAGAUUGGUUAGCGAAGUCAACCAUUUGGGAAAAAUGUUGCCUCCGUAGCAUUUAAUCCUUAACUCCUCUACAUUCACAGGCGGUUGUAAGGCUUCAAGAAGUUGUUUAUCUUUCUCAUUCUUCCUCCUCCCUUCUUCACCUUCCAUAUCUACGACUCCAAACAGAAGAUGCAAACGAAGGAGGUUUUUCUUAUUGUAAAGUUGUAACCUCUUAGCCUCAUCUACAUGCGAUACAUUACUCAGUUCUUCUACUCUACAUUCACGAAGGAGUUGAAGAUUUUUCAGAGAUUCAAGCCUACACGUGCUGCCGCCAUCAACACCUCCACCCACAACAAACCUUUCUAAUGUUCGAAGGCUGGUCAAUCUGGAAAUCCCUAUUGGCAGGUACUCCAACGAAGAAGUUUUAGCAUUCAGUAAACUCCUCAUGUUCAUUAACUUCCCAAUCCCCGCUGGCAAUUCUCUAAGAUUUCGGCACCGCCUAAUAUCUAGCUUUUGUAAAUUAUAUAAUUCACACAAAGUCUCAGGUUGUCUCUCUAUACACAGUCCAGACAAAUUAAGAUAUUUUAAAUGUAUCAAUUUUCCGACAUUUUCUGGAAUUUCUCUAAUCAAAUUUGGGUCAAAAUAAAAAGGAUAAAAAUAUACGAAUGAUUGCCUUAUAACUAAUGUCCUUAAACACGCCAAUUUACUAAAUAACUCCUGAAGGAUACUACUAUUAAGACUCAGAUUGGAAUAACUUUCAUCAUAAAUUAAGAGGCUACGCAAUCUAUCAAAUUCAAAAAAGGACGUAGGAAAUGAAGCACCUCUUUCAAAAUUUAACCCUAAGUGACGGACUUUCUCACCAAAAGAGUUUAUGACUGAUUCUUUGGUACCAUUAAUUUCUAGCCACAAACAUUCUUUGCUACUUACAAAUUGAGCAAAAUCAUGUACUAUGUCAUGCAUCUUGCAACUCAUAAUAUCAUCAUCAUCAUUUUUCUCAAACUCUUGAAAGAAAGAGCGUGCUGCUAAAAUGUUGAAACAUUCUUCCCCAGUAAUGUCCAUCUCUUCAUAUUCUUCUGCAUUAAGGUAACCUUGAGCCAUCCAUAGUGAAAUUAGUUCCUCUUUAUUCAUAUUGUAGUCUUUUGGAAAGACAGCACAAUAUGAGAAACACCGUUUUACCAUAGAAUUGGAGGGCAAAUCGUUAUAACUCAACAACAAAGGAGCUAAAAGACCUUGCCCAAUCUCUUCUACUUUCCACAUUUCACUCUUUAAAAUUCUUUGCCACUCAUUUACUGUAAUUUUAGAGCGCAAGAGAUUCCCUAUUACCUUUGCAGCAAGAGGCAGGCCUUUGCACUUCAGUGCAAUUUUUCGCCCAAUUGGUUCUAAUUUUUCACAAUCUUCGAAAGAGCGACUGGAAAAUGCCAACCGCUUGAACAACGACCAACAUUCCUCUUCAGCCAAUUGCUUAAUGAAGAUAAUAUUUGUUGAUCCCAUCAUACGUGCAACUGACUCAUUACGUGUGGUAACUAAAAUUUUACUUCCUUGGAGACCAUUCUUUAGACAAAGGAAGAAUGGUUCCCAUUUAUUUUAACUCCCAUCCCAUACAUCAUCUAAGACAAGAAAAAACUUUUUUCCUUCAAUUGAUCUAUGGAUAUGGCUCGUAAGAGAUUGGAAUUCGUUUAAACUAGGAGCUGACUCACCUAGACCUUCAAUGAUUGCUUUGACAACCCUAAUCUCCUCAAAAGUGUCUGAUACACACACCCAUAUAACUUUUUCAAAAUUUCUUUUCACCUCAUCAUUAUUAUAGGCUAGUUGUGCAAGAGUGGUUUUACCUAUACCCCCUAACCCAACUAGUGAGAUGACAUGAAGGCCUUUUUGUUGUUCACUACUUUCACACAACAACUUGCUUAAGAGCUCAUUUUUCUCAUCAACUCUACCGCAAACCUCUCCCUCAUCAAUCAAGGAGGUGGUUCGCACUCGCUCUGGUUUCUUAACAUUGUUGCUCACAUUCUCAACAAAUUUAAACGUAUCUUUUUGGGAGGCAAUAUCAUCUAGCUUUCCAUUGAUUUCCCUAAUCUUGACGGCAAUGUCAUGACGAAGACUAAGUUGUUUGAAACUACCAAAGCAGUUUGAUACAGCACAAAAGAAGGAGCGUACCUUCUUCUUAUGAGGAGCAAGAGCAAGAGCAUUGUCAUCAUCAACGCCCUCAAUCUGCAAUUUGAGCCUUGCAGUGGUCCACUCCUCCAACACGUCUUCCAUGUCGUAAGAUGCGUCUUUGAGCUGAUCCAGCCAAAAAGUAACAGCAUUGUCGCGCUGCAUUUGCCUUUUCUCUGCAUCUUCCAGCACAGCUCGAAUGGCUCGAAGAUUGCUGGUAAGCUUUUUCACUUCUUCUCGGACACCAGUCACAAGCCUCACGUGUUGUUUCACUUCAUCAGCCGCAACGGAGAUCAGCUGCUCCAGGAGAGAGGAAACGAUCGCAUCAACCAUUCUGACAAAGAAAACGAGAAUUUUGAUGAGUUAUUAGAUGUGCUUUUGUUGCGAAGAUAUGAAAGAAAAGGAGUUAUUGCGUUCUUUUAUACUGCAUAGAAAAAGCUUAUGCUUAUCCCCACCCCACACGUCAAUGAUUGUAGAAUGUUUAUUUUCCCUGAUUCUACUCCACUAGUUGUGAUGCGUAAUUAUAAAUAUUCUCAAGUUAUGUAUGAAAAUAGCACAAAUUUGGAUCUAGUAAUGAUUUUUAUGUACUUUUUCAUCAUCUUCUAAAAUACCAUCUCUGCAUGUGCACGAAAUAUGGAAUUGGGUGAAAAAAGUUAUGCUUAUCCCCACCCACACGUUAGUAAUUGUAGUAGCAUCUUUAAUUUCCAUGAUUCUACUCCACGGACGAACACAUUUUUUGUAGUAACAUCUUUAAAUUCCCACACGUUAGGAAUUUGGCACAUAUCUCAAACUCGUCGCAUCUUUAACGUAUGAAGUUGAUGAAUAAAUUCUUUUCUCAUGUCAAUUUAAAACUCCGAGAUUAUGUGCCAAAUUCCUAACGUGUGGGAAUUUUACCUCCUAAGUAAUCCGGCCCACUACCAAGUGCCAACUUUUUCUCUGUCGAGUUAAUGAUGUUGUUUUGUUUUCCUUGUUUUAAUUAAUGUUGCCGAGAGAAACAGAUCGAUGCAAAUGGCUAGCCAGGUUUUGCAGAAACCGUGAAUGGUCUUGCAUGUGACAUAAAGCUUAAUCAUGUAUAUAUGUGUGUUGACACUUGCCAGUUCAUUUUUGUUAUAAAGAUUAUUGAUACUCAUAAAUGUACUACUUACAAAUCAUAAAUUUUGAGUUUGACACUUUAGUUUCAUUUUGUAAUCCCUACACUCUUUAAAUAUUUGUAACAAUAUAUUUCAAACUUUAACUCAGACGUAAUGAAUGAAGGGGGAUCCUCUUCUUAUAUAAAUUUUUAUUUUUUAACGUUCAAGUUACAUUUGAUUACGUGUACUUAUUAUCUAGUUUUGACUAUCUAAUUACAUUUGAUUACGUGUACUUAUUAUAUAAUUUUUUUUUGAAAUGAUGGAUCUGGUGAGAUUUUUUACAUCUUGGAUCAGUAGGUCAAGAACAGGCAGGGCAGGGCCUUCUCUGAAGUCAAUCUUGUGAGCAACACCAGCUUUUUGGAUAAUUGGCAGCCCCAAUUCAUAAUUUUCUCUAUUGAUGUCCAUGGCCAAAAUCUGCAACCGAAGCUUAUUCUACUCUUAUUAAUCGAGAGAUAAUUUUACCUCUAACUAAUUUAAUUGGGAGGAAAAUCGAGAGAGAUAUCCACUUUGUCCUUAUUAAUUGAGAGAUAAUUUUACCCUUACCCAAUUUAAUUGGAAAGAAAAUCGAAUUCCAACAAUAACUAGGACUCGAAUCCAUGCACUUAAGCUAACUUUAUGCUUUUGGACGCAUGGUUAUAAUGUUCUUUAUUUAAAUCCUAACAAAUGGUGGGACUUGAACUUGUGCCUACAAACAUUGAGUGCUUAGGGGCUGCAAAAUUUCAUAACUUAAUUUUAGUUGAUGUGGCAUGUGCCCUAUCACAUCAAUGUAGAUAAUAAUAAUUAAUACAUUAACAAAAUGAAAAAUAUUAGUUUACAAAAUACAAAUCCAAAUUUUUUGUGUGAGAGGGGAUUUAAAAGGGAGAGACUAAACAAAUGUGGUGAAAAACGACAUGUAUUACUACAACUGAAAAUACGAAGUCUAGGCAAUUGAAAACAUCGGGUUUUUUAUUUAAAUAUCCCCAAUUUGUCCUUAAAUACCAAAUUUAUACCCUAUUAUAUACAUAUACCUCACGAAGAUAGGGAAAGUAAAAAAUAACCUAAAAAAAUCAGGAAUCCGCACAUUUCUUCCUCUUAGUUCAGAAAGAUGUCGAGUACGAAGUCGGGUAAGUCGAGAAUUUAGUCGAGCAAGAAUUGGAGAUAAGUAAGUCAAUUAGGAAGUUGAGUAAGCAUAUUAAGUGAGUCGAGUAUUAAGUGGUUGAGUAUUAAGUAAAAGUCAAGUAAAUUUUUUGAACAAGUCGAGUAAAAUUUAUGUAAUUUUUAAAGAGGUCGAGUAUUAAGUCGGGUAAGUACAUUGGGUCGAGUAUUAAUAUUUUUAAAGAAGUGAAGUCUGAUAAGUUGAGCAUUUAGUCGAGUAAGAAGUUAAGGCAAUUGAAUAAGUCGAGUAUCUAGUUGAGUACAAAGUCGGGUAAGUUGAGCAUUCAGUCGAAUAAGAAGUAAAGACAAUUGAAUAAGUCGAGUGUCUAGUCGAGUACGAAGUCGAGUAUGAAAUCUGGUAAGUUGAGCAUUCAGUCGAGUGAGAAGUGAAGGCAAUUGAAUAAGUCGAGUAUCUAGUCGAGAACGAAGUCGGGUAUGAAGUCUGGUAAGUUGAGCAUUUAGUCGAGUGAGAAGUGAAGACAAUUGAAUAAGUCGAGUAUCUAGUCGAGUACAAAGUCGGGUAUGAAGUAUGGUAAGUUGAGCAUUUAGUCGAGUAAGAAGUGAAGGCAAUUGAAUAAGUCGAAUAUCUAGUCGAGUACGAAGUCAGGUAUAAAGUAUGGUAAGUUGAGCAUUCAGUUGAGUAAGAAGUGAAAGUAAUUGAAUAAGUCGAGUAUCUAGUCGAGUAAUCAAACCAAUUUUCUCCAUAGAGUCUUCAAAGUCAACCUAAAAAUGAAAUGCAGGUGGAAAUGAAAAUUCUAUAAACUAAAUAAAAUAAAAUGCAAUUCUUGAGCUUGAGCUUGCUUUUACAUCAUCAUAAUAGUGAAUUUUGAUACAUCUUUACUUUUCUGUUCUUGUUUAUUCACAACAAGAUAUCAAUAAAAGAAGAUGGAAAUGAAAUUCUAUAAAAUAAAGCAAGUGAAUUACCAGAAGAACAUUUUAGCAAUCCUUUGGCUAAAAUUUUCAUUUUCUUAGCAUACUCUCCUGCCUGUGAAUUGCUAGUGUGGUUCUAACAUUUCCUCGAAUCCCUGGUGAACAUAAUUAAACUCGUAUGAAAUAAAACAAAGUGGGCUAAUGUACUACUAAAAACAAUUACACAAUUACUUUAAAGAAUUAGUGUCUGUUUGGUAUGGCUUAUUUAAGAGGCAUAAGUGCUUAUUUAAUCGUAUAAGCACUUUUUAAAAAUUUUUAUGGUGUUUGGUUAUUUUUUUUGCUUAAAUAAGGUAAUUUACCUCUACUAGCAAAAGUCCAAAAUUUGAGCUUUUGGGAGUAGAGGUUAUAGAGCUUUUCUAAAAAUAUAUAAUAUAAAAAAUAUCACACAGUUUAAUGGUUCAAAAGUGAUUUUUUUAUUGACAACCAAACACCCAAUGACUUUUUUGACCAAAAGCUUUAUUAGUAUAAGCUCUGCUGCUAUAAGCUCUACUGUUAUAAGCUCUAUUUAAUAAGCUGUACCAAACAGAGCCUUAAUGUCACAUAAAUUAUAUAUAAAAAAAUACGAUUAUCAUUAUACAAGAUAAAAUUGAUAAUUUAGUUUUCAACAUUACUGCAAAUGUAUCACAGACAUUUUGUCUCUCAGCGAGUUACACAUAACAAAUUUUCGUACAUUAAAAAAUAAAUUGCAUUGGGAUUUUCUAUGAUAUUGUAUGAAAUUUUACAAAAGAGCACAUAUUUUUUUAAAGUAAAUAAAUAUAGAAAUUUCAGCAGACUACACUUGUAUUUUUUUAUUAUUUAAUUUUUAGAAAACAAGUUCAACAGAUUUGAUCACUAGGAAGUUUUACAUAUUUAUACCAAGAUUGAUUCUAUAUAGAAUCUUAAUUCAAAAUAUAAUUAUUUUUAUUAAUUUCAUUGCAAGCAACAAUGAAGUAAAUCAGAGGAGGAGAAAUUACCAGCGAGUGAUAUCUUACGGCGACCAAUUGAUGUGGGGAAUGUGGGAUAUCUUAUGCCAGUCUUCUCCUUUCCCCUCUCUUAACCCCAAAUUGUCAAUGUCUGCAGUGUCGUUGUUUGAAGUAACAACAAAGUAAAAUACAGAGAAAUUACCGGUAGGUGAUAGUAAUUGCAACCAUUCGAGAAUUUACCACUCGAUGUGGGGAAUGUGAGAUAUCCUAUGCCAGUCUUCUCCUUUCCCCUCUCUAUAACGGUUUUCAAGAAGAGGACAUCCCUCAAUACUCAAUUCCUGCAGCGUCGUCGUCCGAAGAAGGUAAUCCGGCAGCACCUUUAAUUUGGGGCAAUACCAAAUCGUCAAGGAAGAAAGAUGUGGUAUGUCUGUUGUCCUGCGAUCUUCUAGAAUGGGCAGUUCUUCCAAAUUUUCACAAGCAUGAAUAACCAGUACCUGCAGUUCCGUCGUUUGAAGAAGGUAAUCCGGCAGCGCCUUUAAUUUGUUGCAAAAACCAACUUUUAAGGAAGAAAGAUGGGGCAUGAUGGAGAUGUUUUCCUUCCUCGUAAUCUUGUAAUUCCACUCUUCCAAUUCUUCCAAUGCUACAAUUUCGAGUGAUUUCAAUUUGGGGAAGGCAAUAACUGAUGAUGACGAUGAAGAUGAAGAUGGGCCAUCCUCACUGCUUUCUUCUAUUCCCAAAAACUCAUUACCCACUCUUUUUACACUUUUCAAGUGGAUGAUUACGAGUUUUUCCAGAGGUAAUUUUCCCAAAGGAGGCAAAUGCUCACAGUUAAAACACGAGGAAAGAUAUAAAUUCCUUAGAUUGGUUAGUGAAGUCAACCAUUUGGGAAAAAUGUUGCCUCGGUAGGAUUCAAUCUCUAAUUUCUCUAAAUUCACAGGCGGUUGUAAGGCUUCAAGAAGUUGUUUAUCUUUCUCAUUCUUCCUCCUCCCUUCUUCGCCUUCCCCAUCUACGACUCUACCAAACUCAAGAUGCAAACGAAGGAGGUUUUUCUUAUUGUCUCAUCUACAUGCGAUACAUUACUCAGCCCUUCUACUCUACAUUCACGAAGGAGUUGAAGAUUUUUCAGAGAUUCAAGCCUACACGUGCUGCCACCAUCAACACCUCCACCCACAACAAACUUUUCUAAUGUUCGAAGGCUGGUCAAUCUGGAAAUCCCUAUUGGCAUGUACUUCAACGAAUAAGUUUCACCAUUCAGUAAACUCCUCAUGUUCUUUAACUUCCCAAUCCUCGCAGGCAAUUCUCUAAGACUUGGGCACCGCCUAAUAUCUAGCUUUUGUAAAUUAUAUAAUUCACACAAAGUCUCAGGUAGUCUCUCUAUACAUAGUCCAGACAAAUUAAGAUAUUUUAAAUGUAUCAAUUUUCCAACAUUUUCUGGAAUUUCU
Molecule: long non-coding RNA, 8318 nt
Filed under: Citrus maxima (pomelo)
Lineage: Eukaryota; Viridiplantae; Streptophyta; Magnoliopsida; Sapindales; Rutaceae
Description: long non-coding RNA (CMAX_LNC001275)
Source: RNAcentral